CCCGCCCAUGAAGCGAUAUGUAUGACUGCUGUGUCACAUGUGCAUCCAUAGAUGGCAGAGAGGAAAGAGGUUAUGUCUACAUUCAAGAUGCUGACCUAUGACCUUCUGAACAUUAGUAGCCCAACGUU
Small nucleolar RNA from Rattus norvegicus (Norway rat), 128 nucleotides. Ensembl annotates it as small nucleolar RNA SNORA17. The record is from Ensembl. Lineage: Eukaryota; Metazoa; Chordata; Mammalia; Rodentia; Muridae.